Molecule: long non-coding RNA, 106 nt
Organism: Alosa sapidissima (American shad)
Lineage: Eukaryota; Metazoa; Chordata; Actinopteri; Clupeiformes; Clupeidae
Exons: 3
Source: RefSeq, a predicted model, not a curated record
GACCACCACUUUUAGAAACACUUGUAUAAGAAACAAAGAAACAGACAGACAAACGUAGGCUACAAACAACACAGACAAUAACAGGAUGCAACGCAGAACAGAGAAA